RNAcentral lists this transfer RNA (115 nucleotides) under Xylaria sp. CBS 124048. Its description in RNAcentral is "tRNA-Leu". It matches the Rfam family "tRNA". Rfam says of the family: Transfer RNA (tRNA) molecules are approximately 80 nucleotides in length. The record is from RNAcentral. Lineage: Eukaryota; Fungi; Ascomycota; Sordariomycetes; Xylariales; Xylariaceae.
GGGAGUUUGGCCGAGUGGUUAAGGCGUCGUGUUUAGGUAGUGCUGGGAUUUCAAUCCCGGUAUACCAUAAAUCCCGCGAUGGGAAACCGCGCAGGUUCGAAUCCUGCAGCUCUCA